This 2333-nucleotide long non-coding RNA is filed under the name Marmota monax (woodchuck). The record is from RNAcentral. Lineage: Eukaryota; Metazoa; Chordata; Mammalia; Rodentia; Sciuridae.
UAAAAUUUUAUUUAUUUAUUUAUUUUGAGACAGGGUUUCUGAGGGUCUCACUAAAUUGCUGAGACUGGCCUCAAACUUGUGAUCCUCCUGCUUCAGCCUCCCAAGUCACUGGGAUAACAAAUUGUACCACUGUGCCCAGUGAAGCUCUGUUUUAUAAGCAUCCUGGAACACUUGAGGUAAGUUUGACAACAGAAUAAAUGAUUUCAGUCAAUGGAGUCCAUAUUCUUUCAGCUGGGGAGAAUCUCAGAAGUCACGAGUUUCUCUUUGGCAGAAUUAUGAAUGGUGAAGCAGAGAUUGAGUCUCUACCAGUCAGAUGGCCAUUGUGAUAGGGAUGUAGAGCACUGGCCAUGUAGAGCACAAGACAUGGACUCCAGGGCCUUCCCUUGGACUUCCCACAGUGUGCUUCUCCACACACCAAUUUUCCCUAUACCCUAUCCCUUCCCUGAACCCCAGCCUGUGUGGGCCUUAAUCCUCCCAGGACCCCCUCUUCCCUCCAACAUGCUUUCAACUUAUAGGCUGCUUCUUGCCCACUGAAUGGUGAAAGUGAGUGAUGGUUUCCAGUCCAUCUGCUUUUGGUAACAAGCAGAGGGGCUGGGAGUGGGAAAGUGUAUCCUCUGCAUUUAUGAGUGACUCUGGGAUCUAUACUCCUGGGUCUCUGAACUUGCCUUCCAACCUCAUCUCUCAUUUUCUCCCUCUGCCUCUCAGUUCCUCUCCCUGGGUUUAACCCUUAGCCAUCCUCUUAGUGACUUCAACAAUAGGAAAGUACUGGAAGGAGGACCCUAUUGUAAAGAAAUUGUAUUAUAAUUACCCUCACUAUGGUCUCAUUGAACUACUUUAUUCCCCAGAGGAAAUAAUUUGAUCACAAUAUGAGGACAUGGUCACUGCUAAAUGACAAUGGAGUUCCGGGGAAGUCAGUGCGACAGUGUGUUUGAAGGACUGCCCAUGACUAAAAUCCAAGCAGGAAGCAAGAGGAAGUUGAGCAAAGGGUUUGCUGUAAGUGAAAGACAGAUCCUGCCAAAGUAGAACCACCCAGUUGGUUAUUUUAAAAAGAAGUUGGAACAGAGUGGAUUUUGGUUUCUUGAAACCCGCAUGUAUAUACCAGAAUAGCUCAUGCCUGACAUUCUGCAUAGGAGCAGCAUUCUUAGCUCCUCAAUUUGGGUUUAAUGGUUCUUUAGUUGAGAAUAGAAGGCAAUAAAGGAGAAUUGCAUUCUUUUUUCCUCUGUGGGUGGAAAUUUCCCAUCAGAUAAGGGGCCACUCCUUCUCUCUAGAACUAAUUUCUUGGGAAUUCCUAGACUCUUUCUCUCUCUCUUUUUAAUUUUGUUAAUGGCACUUAUUUUUGUUAAUAGGUAGAAUUUUUGAUGACUUCUCACACUGGUUCUGCUGUCUGAAACAAACUCUGCUUCCCUCCACAGGGCUCACCUCAGCAGCCCUCCUCCCAGUUCUCCAGCCUCAACCUCUUGAAUCUCUGACCUGGAUAAUGUACCUGGCUUUGGACAGUUCUCCUGGUCUCUAGGCUCACUCAAUUCUGCCUAUUUUCCACAUGGCCACUAGAACAUCUUCAUACUUACCUGAGGGUGUCCCCCUCAGUUCUCGGCCUUCACUGAUUGUCUUUUGCCUGUGAAACAGUGUCCAGACUGGGUGAAGAAACCGAGGACCCACCACCAUCUGCUCACAGACUACAACCCAAAGUCCAGCCUUUGAGAAUAUUAUUGUUCCUCUGUCCCAUCCCAUAAACACCUCCUGUGUUCAGUCCCCCCUCAGAGUGCGCUUCCUCUGUCACACAGCUCUGGCCUUCUCAGACUGGCCUGUUCUAGGAUUAUUUAUGGGUGUGCUACAGCUCUUCCAGCAGUGGGAAGUCUGCUGCGUCUUGUUAAUUUUUAAUUUCCCCAUGGCAACUACUUCAGAGCUGCAUGUGUGACAUGUACUUGCCAGACACUCAAUUAAGCUUCAGUAAACAUUGGGAUGAAAAUGUGGAGGAGUUAAUGCAUGCAUUCGAUUAUUUUUUAUUUAAUUUCAAUACAGGAUCUUUCUAGGUUUUCCUGGCUGGCCCUGAACUCACCAUCCUCCUGACUCAGUCUUGAGUAGUUGGGAUUACAGAUGUGACACUGUCCCUAACUUUAAUGACUUAAAAAAAAUAAAACAAAAAACAAUAUCAUAGCUUUAUUCAAAACCACAGUUGCACAAAAGUAGUAACUUCAAAGUUUGAAAGGAGAGAUUCUCAAAGAACUUAACCACUAUAUACAUACUGCCAUACAAAUAGCAUUAAAAUAGGAUCUAAAACUUAUAUAAAAAUAGGAACCCCACUUAUUUAUUUGCAUGAAAAUACUAUCCAC